Molecule: ribosomal RNA, 253 nt
Filed under: uncultured bacterium
Lineage: Bacteria
Description: partial 16S ribosomal RNA
Rfam family: Bacterial small subunit ribosomal RNA
Source: RNAcentral
UACGUAGGUGGCGAGCGUUGUCCGGCAUUAUUGGGCGUAAAGGAUGCGUAGGUGGAUAUUUAAGUGGGAUGUGAAAUCCCUGGGCUCAACCCAGGAAUUGCAUUCCAAACUGGGUAUCUUGAGUGUAGGAGAGGAAAGCAGAAUUCCUAGUGUAGAGGUGAAAUUCGUAGAUAUUAGGAGGAAUACCAGUGGCGAAGGCGGCUUUCUGGACUAUAACUGACACUGAGGCAUGAAAGCGUGGGUAGCAAACAGG